RNAcentral lists this long non-coding RNA (350 nucleotides) under Elaeis guineensis (African oil palm). RNAcentral's name for it is "long non-coding RNA (EGUI_LNC026689)". Lineage: Eukaryota; Viridiplantae; Streptophyta; Magnoliopsida; Arecales; Arecaceae. The record is from RNAcentral.
UAUAAAUAAAACCUCAAGGCCUCCAUCUUCUCUAAUGAAGCCAACGCCUAAGUUUCUCUCUAAGUUGCUGCCCCUAUCUCUCCUUCUUUCUUCUCUAUAAGUCUAGAGGAGGUCCUAACCCUAGCACACCUUCCAUCAAAUCUAGAAGAGGUCCUAAUCUUAAUGUCGCUACCUUUUUCUCUUCUACAUAUUCUCUUCCAUCUAUCUUUCUUUCUUGAAAUUUCUAGAUCAAGUCUUCCAGCCAUCCUACCGCUGUCUGCAUAGAGGAAGACAAAGAAUUUAAGGAGACACAUCCACUAUCGGACGCAGCGAGAAGAUCAACUUGAUUUAGUUGUCUUGUAUCGUAAUUU